AUCGAAGAGGCCCUCUCCAUCUUUACUGUCUGCUGCCGCGAUGAUGGGGCCUGUGUCUGAUGGACUGCUGGCCAAACUCAAAGGAAUUGAGGGGCCCUGUGCCUCACCAUUCCCUGACCUACCGUUGACCAGGAAUUCGACGGUGAAGACGGAGGUAUGCAAGUGUUAUCCGGAUUCACUGGCCGUAAAGCGUCUGUAGGUGGCAAAUAAGUCAACUGUUAAUUCUUGACGCUCAACCUCAAAAUCGCAGCCGAAACUAUUCGACUAGAGUAUACUAGGGGUAAAGGGAAUUUCAAGGGGAGCGGUGAAAUGCGUAAAGAUUGAAAAGAACACCGAUGCAGAAGGCACUUUACUGGGCUAUUACUACCCCCUCAGCAGACAAAGCUCGGGCACUAAAAUGGGAUUUAAAAUACCCACAGUAGUCCUAGCCUGGCAAAACAAUGGAUCACUAGGAUUGCUUGACCAUAUCCCACCUCGCGCCAGUUUUAAAACCUUAACCCCGUAUAUGUACUCCCCGCCUUGAGAAAAGCUAUUGCUUCUGCAAAAAUUGGAACCCUCAAAGGUAAUUUUGAAGGGGC
RNAcentral lists this ribosomal RNA (578 nucleotides) under uncultured bacterium. RNAcentral describes it as "bacterial SSU rRNA". The stretch from base 172 to 474 matches the Rfam family "Bacterial small subunit ribosomal RNA", at positions 547 to 873 of the family's 1533-position model. The record is from RNAcentral.